UUCUUUUCUAUCUUUGUGACCCUAGAGAGCUUGAGAAUUCCCAUGUUUUGCUCACAGCAUACCAGAGUGUAGCAUGGGGGAGAUUCAUGUCCUUUUAUUGAUGAAGAAUGGCUUGUAAAUGUAACAUGCCACCACUGGGACAUGUCUGUGGUUGAGAGGAGGAAACCCUGUCUCAGAGCACUGCAGGCAUUGUCUAAAGAAGCCCCAAAUUUCUGUAAAAACAACCUAAACAUUCAAAGAAAGUUCUUUGGAAAGUAAAGAGUAAAGCAGAUGUCUCGGGGCUGGAGCCUGCAGCCGAGCCUGCUGCGUGUUAACCAUCACGGGCCGGGCUGCCGCAUUUAACACAAUUCGAGAGCAGCAAGGCAAAAAGAAAAGCUGGGAGCAAAGGGAAGCAGUAAGGACAGACUCCAGUCCACCCUGCUCGCUGCACAAGCCUCCCCAACCCCCCGAGAUCAAACACACUCAAUAGAUACUUACAGCCCAUUCGAUAGCGCUGAUCCCGCGUCCCCGCGGUGCCGUGUGUGCCCCGGGCUGCCAAGCAGGCACAUCUGGAUGUGGUUAUGAGAGACAUCGCUCGGCUCUCAGCUCAGCCUGCCAGCGGAGCCCGGGACACGCUGGGGGCGCCGAGCAGCGCCGGGGCCGGGGCCGCUCCCGCAGCAGCGAGCGGAGCUGCCGGGCCGGGGCUGGGAUCGGGCCGGGGCUGCGGCUGCGGCGGGGCCGGGAACGGGGCUGGGCUCGGAGCUGGGGCUGGGACCGGGAGCAGGGCUGGGAUCGGGACUGGAAUCGGAGCCGGGAUCGUGGCUGGGAUAGGGCCGGGAUCGUGGCGGCCCCGAGAGCAGCCCCGACCCCGCAGCGAGCCGAGCCCGGCGAUCGCGGCAGAGCCGGGUCCCGGCCAAGGCCGACACGUGAUGGGCCCGGGAGCGCCGAUGGCUCCGGCGGGACAGGGCGGAGGUGUCCAGAGGGAGAACGCUCAGCCAGGUAGGACCAGCCUUGGAAUGUCAGGAGAAAUGUGUGACUUUGGGCAGAGCCCUGCUGGGCAGCCACCCUCAGGCUGGAUGCUGCUCUGGAGCUGGUGAUCACCAAACGUGGCCAAAACUUCAGUGACCCCUCUCUUACUACUGCAGGUCAGCUAUGCCAAAACAAAUAAUUCAAAUUCUCCUUUGGAUGGAACUUUUAUUCCUUCUGGCAGACUGAAUGGAGGCUCCUUCAAACCUGAAACAUGGUUAAAAUGACAAAAACAAUCUGUACCAGAAAAAAAAGCCCUCUUGGAUCUCUUCCU
This 1279-nucleotide long non-coding RNA is filed under the name Junco hyemalis (dark-eyed junco). RNAcentral's name for it is "lncRNA (ENSJHYG00000015463.1)". Lineage: Eukaryota; Metazoa; Chordata; Aves; Passeriformes; Passerellidae. The record is from RNAcentral.